This 324-nucleotide ribosomal RNA is filed under the name uncultured eukaryote. Its description in RNAcentral is "partial 18S ribosomal RNA". It matches the Rfam family "Eukaryotic small subunit ribosomal RNA", at positions 1470 to 1796 of the family's 1831-position model. The record is from RNAcentral.
CCCUUAGAUGUUCUGGGCUGCACGCGCGCUACACUGAUGCGAUCAACAAGUUUUUCCUAUGUCGAUAGACACGGGUAAUCUUUUGAACUCGCAUCGUGAUGGGGAUAGAUUAUUGUAAUUAUUAAUCUUCAACGAGGAAUUCCUAGUAGGUGCAAAUCAUCAGUUUGCAUCGAUUACGUCCCUGCCCUUUGUACGCACCGCCCGUCGCUGCUACCGAUUGGUUGAUCUGGUGAAUUAUUCGGACUGCCGGCUGAAGGGGUUUCCUCAUCUGCCAGCGGAAAGUCUUGUUAACCCUAUCAACUAGAGGAAGCAGAAGUCGUAACA